RNAcentral lists this ribosomal RNA (489 nucleotides) under uncultured bacterium. RNAcentral describes it as "partial 16S ribosomal RNA". It matches the Rfam family "Bacterial small subunit ribosomal RNA", at positions 30 to 506 of the family's 1533-position model. The record is from RNAcentral.
AUUGAACGCUGGCGGCAGGCCUAACACAUGCAAGUCGAACGGUAACAGGAAGCAGCUUGCUGCUUUGCUGACGAGUGGCGGACGGGUGAGUAAUGUCUGGGAAACUGCCCGAUGGAGGGGGAUAACUACUGGAAACGGUAGCUAAUACCGCAUAACGUCGCAAGACCAAAGAGGGGGACCUUAGGGCCUCUUGCCAUCGGAUGUGCCCAGAUGGGAUUAGCUAGUAGGUGGGGUAACGGCUUACCUAGGCGACGAUCCCUAGCUGGUCUGAGAGGAUGACCAGCCACACUGGAACUGAGACACGGUCCAGCCUCCUACGUGAGGCAGCAGUGGGGAAUAUUGCGCAAUGGGCGGAGGCCUGAUGCAGCCAUGCCGCGUGUAUGAAGAAGGCCUUCGGGUUGUAAAGUACUUUCAGCGGGGAGGAAGGGAGUAAAGUUAAUACCUUUGCUCAUUGACGUUACCCGCAGAAGAAGCACCGGCUAACUCCGU